RNAcentral lists this ribosomal RNA (253 nucleotides) under uncultured bacterium. RNAcentral describes it as "partial 16S ribosomal RNA". It matches the Rfam family "Bacterial small subunit ribosomal RNA", at positions 524 to 776 of the family's 1533-position model. The record is from RNAcentral.
UACGGAGGGUGCGAGCGUUAAUCGGAAUUACUGGGCGUAAAGCGCGCGUAGGCGGUUUGUUAAGUCAGCUGUGAAAGCCCCGGGCUCAACCUGGGAACUGCAGUUGAUACUGGCCGACUAGAGUACGAGAGAGGGAGGUAGAAUUCCAUGUGUAGCGGUGAAAUGCGUAGAUAUAUGGAGGAAUACCAGUGGCGAAGGCGGCCUCCUGGCUCGAUACUGACGCUGAGGUGCGAAAGCGUGGGGAUCAAACGGG